AUGGAGUGCCCGACCCGGAUUGGACUUGGCGGCCAUAAGAAGGAAGGAUCCUCCACCGCCUGCCUGCCUUGCCUCUCGGCGUUCUCGCGUCGCGGCUCGACCUGGCCCUUGCCCUGUCUCUCGCCAUCGGCUGCCAGGUCAGGGCCCUCGCCCUUGUCCUCCUUCUCGGCGCCUGGGCCGCGAGCCACGCUCAGCCCCCUCCUUGGCUUCGAUCUGAUGGCCCUUCCCCAACCUCCUCGACCUCGACAGAUCCGGGAGGCCGCCGCUCGUCAAAUUGCUUACCUAUACUGCCUCUUCAUUUGCACCGUCAAAAAUUGCACAUGGGCUGUUUCAGACUUUGAGGGUUCAGAAAACAGCUUGAAGAGCCAAUCGGGAGUGGGGGUCAGAAGAGGGACGUUGGUGGUGUUCGAGAUGUAUCGGUGGUCACCUGUUGGCAGGGCCCUCAUGGAGACACUGGACAAGAUGAUGCUCAGUGGUGUGCUCAGCCCCGAGCUCGCCUUAAGCGUCCUCCUGCAGUCCGUCCAUGAGCGGUUGGAGCACCAGGUUAAGAGCAAGGCAUUCUUCAAAGGUCGCAUCUUCAUGAGACUUGCAAAGAACGGUGGUGCUGCAGCACUGAGUGUUGCCCUUCAUAUUGGAAAGACUGAAAAUGCUGAAGAACUGCCUGGCAAGCAUAUUGGCAGUAGACUUCCGGUGAGACUUCAGUUUCCAUCAUCAAAGUGCUCCUAA
This 726-nucleotide ribosomal RNA is filed under the name Triticum aestivum (bread wheat). RNAcentral's name for it is "partial small subunit ribosomal RNA". The record is from RNAcentral. Lineage: Eukaryota; Viridiplantae; Streptophyta; Magnoliopsida; Poales; Poaceae.